This 900-nucleotide ribosomal RNA is filed under the name uncultured archaeon. RNAcentral describes it as "bacterial SSU rRNA". It matches the Rfam family "Archaeal small subunit ribosomal RNA", at positions 455 to 1354 of the family's 1478-position model. The record is from RNAcentral.
GUGUCAGCCGCCGCGGUAAAACCAGCACCUCAAGUGGUCAGGAGGAUUAUUGGGCCUAAAGCAUCCGUAGCCUGUUCUAUAAGUUUCCGGUUAAAUCCAUUAGCUCAACUAAUGGGCCGCCGAAAAUACUGUGGAACUAGGGAGUGGGAGAGGUAGACGGUACUCGGUAGGAAGGGGUAAAAUCCUUUGAUCUAUUGAUGACCACCUGUGGCGAAGGCGGUCUACCAGAACACGUUCGACGGUGAGGGAUGAAAGCUGGGGGAGCAAACCGGAUUAGAUACCCGGGUAGUCCCAGCUGUAAACGAUGCAGACUCGGUGAUGCGCUGGCUUGUGGCCAGUGCAGUGCCGCAGGGAAGCCGUUAAGUUUGCCGCCUGGGAAGUACGUACGCAAGUAUGAAACUUAAAGGAAUUGGCGGGGGAGCACCACAAGGGGUGAAGCCUGCGGUUCAAUUGGAGUCAACGCCAGAAAUCUUACCCGAAGAGACAGCAGAAUGAAGGUCAAGCUGGAGACUUUACCAGACAAGCUGAGAAGUGGUGCAUGGCCGUCGCCAGCUCGUGCCGUGAGAUGUCCUGUUAAGUCAGGUAACGAGCGAGAUCCCUGCCUCUAGUUGCCACCAUUACUCUCAGGAGUAGUGGGGCGAAUUAGCGGGACCGCCGCAGUUAAUGCGGAGGAAGGAAGGGGCCACGGCAGGUCAGUAUGCCCUGAAACUUUGGGGCCACACGCGGGCUGCAAUGGUAGCGACAAUGGGUUCCGAAUCCGAAAGGUGGAGGUAAUCCUCAAACACUACCACAGUUAUGAUUGAGGGCUGCAACUCGUCCUCAUGAAUAUGGAAUCCCUAGUAACUGCGUGUCAUUACCGCGCGGUGAAUACGUCCCUGCUCCUUGCACACACCGCCCGUC